GCAUCAGUGGUUUAGUGGUAAAAUCCAUCGUUGCCAUGCAUAGGAAUCUCCUAUAAUGAAUUCGAUGGGCCCCGCGUUCGAUUCGCGGCUGAUGCA
Diatrype stigma is the source of this 96-nucleotide non-coding RNA. The record is from the annotation of a GenBank genome assembly. NCBI's taxonomy places the organism in Eukaryota, Fungi, Ascomycota, Sordariomycetes, Xylariales, Diatrypaceae.